RNAcentral lists this ribosomal RNA (381 nucleotides) under Triticum aestivum (bread wheat). RNAcentral describes it as "partial small subunit ribosomal RNA". The record is from RNAcentral. Lineage: Eukaryota; Viridiplantae; Streptophyta; Magnoliopsida; Poales; Poaceae.
AUGAUCAGUUCAGUAACUUUUAGUUACGAUGCCUGCAACAUUGGGAUUUAUAUACAAUGUUCUUUAUCCUUCCAUACUUAUAUGGUUCACGCAGAUUAUGGACACCCAAUACUAUUCACAAAUAACGCUCUAAUAUUGUCGUUCAGCAUUUCCCAUGGAAAACAGGAGGAUUUCAAUUUGCUAGGGCUCAUAGAAUGUCACAAGAAAGAUGAUUUUUGGAUUAAACUUGAUAUCGAUCAGACUGGUUUAUAUAAAGUGAUGAUGAGGAACUUGCAUCACGACUUAGGCAUGCAGUUGAGACCAACACACUUGAGUGCAAUAGACAGAUAUGGUAGAACUCUUGCAUGGUUUCUUACAACUGUACAAGUCUUCUCCUAUUGA